Chinchilla lanigera (long-tailed chinchilla) is the source of this 368-nucleotide long non-coding RNA. RefSeq lists it as uncharacterized. The transcript has 2 exons. The record is from RefSeq and is a predicted model, not a curated record. NCBI's taxonomy places the organism in Eukaryota, Metazoa, Chordata, Mammalia, Rodentia, Chinchillidae.
GCAUCUCUGCAUGCCCUGAGAGCUGGUCAGGCUCAGCCCCCAGCAGAGACUCACAGCCCCUUCGCUUGCUGCUGCCUCCUUUCACUGCACCUUACCAUUUCUUGUCCACUCCUCCAGGGAACAGAUCUGCAACUGGGCAACUUCUGGCUCCUCCAUGACCAUGAAAGGCAGCUGUUCUGAACCAAUUCAGGACCUGAGAGCAGCCCCACCAGUGCAACUAGACACCCAGGAAAGAGGACAUCCAGAGCUGCUUCAGAGUGUAGCAACAGUGGUGGGACAAGUGUGCUCGGAGCAAGGGGGCGGAUUGUGAAGAAGGUUAAUGCCAAUGUGUCUUUUACUGAAAUAAAAUUUAAAGAUGUCAACAUUCA